RNAcentral lists this unclassified non-coding RNA (90 nucleotides) under Pseudomonas mandelii. The record is from RNAcentral. Lineage: Bacteria; Pseudomonadati; Pseudomonadota; Gammaproteobacteria; Pseudomonadales; Pseudomonadaceae.
UGUGGGAGCGAGCCUGCUCGCGAUAGCAGUGGGUCAGUCGGCAUAUUUGUUGAAUGACCCACCGCUAUCGCGAGCAGGCUCGCUCCCACA